GAGAAUUUGGAGAUUGAGAGGCUAAACUAGAACUAAACUAGAACUACUCCUAAUUGUGCUGGAAAUAAAUGUGAAAUAGAAGUGGUAUUGGUUCGAUUGUUGGGGUUCAAUCGGCCGUAGCCCUUCAUCUAUAUAAAGGGGAGGUCUGGAUCCGCUUCCAACUGAUUUCCGAGUUAAUCCCGCGGUUUUAGGUAACAAAUCCCGCGAGAAACUAGGAACCCUAACUGACUCUGCGCACGCGCGGACCGUCCGCGCCAUCACCGCGGACUAUCCGUGCUGCUCUUUUUGGUCUCCAGCAGAUGUAGAUAUUGGAGCACCAAAUUGAGAAUUAGAAUCAUCUUUCCUGAAUUCUGUUGUUUGGCUGCAAAUGGAAUUAAUGAUUGAAAUCAGAGAUCUAAUUUCCUAGAAUUAAACUAUAACUAGAAACUCACUCUCUCAAUUCAGAAUAUCACACCUCUGUAUUGGGUGGAAUCAGACCGAAUAAUUACAAACUUCAAUUCAGUGGCAUUCAAACAAUAAAAUUGCAAUUUUAUAUCAUUGCAGUAACAUGUCUGAUUUGGUAUUUAGCCCAAUUCAAUUCUAUAUCCUCUAAUAUCAACGUACAAACGGAGAAUUAAGAAAAUGAGGUUUUUCCCAAACUAGCCAUUAAUAUUAAAAAAAAGAAUCAUAUUUUAAAGACCAACGAUCACGCUGCACAAUGCCUGAGAUGAGGGGACAAUAUAUAAUCGAACCUGUAAUCCUUCAGACCGCUGCAGAGCAUCCACGACAGGCUCUGUGGAUGAAAGCAAGUGAUCACUGCCACAUCCGGCCAUCAGCAGCUCUUUUCCAGGAGCACCAUCACAGCCCAGAACGACACCUGCAAAUUCCAAAGCCAGCUCCGCUGAUAAGAUAUGAGAAAACAGCACCAUCAAUACGCAGGCUAAAACGACGAGAAAACAAACCGGCUUUCGCUUCGGAUCAAAGUGUAUAAUCAGUAAGUCAAGUGAAUAGAUCGAAAAUGAGAAGAAAACGCAUUGGCCAAGACGCAUAUUGCCGCAACAAAAAUGCUGGUUCGGUUUCCACCGAUCAGAAUGCAGACAUAGGAAUAAAGAAAAGUAUGUGUGCACGUAUGAGAACCAGAACCACUCAGGAUCCAGGGCACUCGUCCCUCCUGGAAGGAGCUAUAUGAGAGGAGAACGACCGAAUAAGAAUAGAGGGGAAGGGGGAGCGAGAGGCGGGAGCCGUACGAGAGAAGGCGUCCUUCCUCCUGAAGAGCACCGACGGCAAGGCCACCCCACUCCUGCGCUCCCCGCCCGAUCCCGCCGAGCCGCCGGCCCGCACGACCACCCCGAGCCUCGCGCCGGACACGGCGAGCGACGCCAUCCCGCGCGCACCAGCUAGCCACAAAUCAACCACCCGCACGUACGCUCCUUCACCCGCGCGGCCCACGGGAAGCGAGUGCGCGAGGGGCAGCCGAAGCCGAGGAGGAGCGGCGCCAGAUAUUGUGUAUUAGCCCGCGCGCGGGAGCGAGCAGGGCUGGCUGGGAGGGAAGGAAUGGGGGGCAGCAACGUGUGCGGCGGAGGUGGAAGAAGCAGUGUGGCCAG
Molecule: long non-coding RNA, 1583 nt
Filed under: Zea mays
Lineage: Eukaryota; Viridiplantae; Streptophyta; Magnoliopsida; Poales; Poaceae
Description: long non-coding RNA (ZMAY_LNC000529)
Source: RNAcentral